This 254-nucleotide ribosomal RNA is filed under the name uncultured bacterium. RNAcentral describes it as "partial 16S ribosomal RNA". It matches the Rfam family "Bacterial small subunit ribosomal RNA", at positions 524 to 776 of the family's 1533-position model. The record is from RNAcentral.
CACGUAGGGUGCGAGCGUUGUCCGGAAUUAUUGGGCGUAAAGAGCUCGUAGGCGGUGUGUCGCGUCGGCCGUGAAAACCUGUGGCUUAACCAUGGGCUUGCGGUCGAUACGGGCAUCACUGGAGUUCGGCAGGGGAGACUGGAAUUCCUGGUGUAGCGGUGGAAUGCGCAGAUAUCAGGAGGAACACCAAUAGCGAAGGCAGCUCGCUGGGACGGUACUGACGCUAAGGCGCGAAAGCGUGGGGAGCGAACAGG